This 497-nucleotide ribosomal RNA is filed under the name uncultured bacterium. RNAcentral's name for it is "partial 16S ribosomal RNA". It matches the Rfam family "Bacterial small subunit ribosomal RNA", at positions 28 to 507 of the family's 1533-position model. The record is from RNAcentral.
GACGAACGCUGGCGGCGUGCCUAAUACAUGCAAGUUGAGCGCUGAAGGUUGGUACUUGUACCAACUGGAUGAGCAGCGAACGGGUGAGUAACGCGUGGGGAAUCUGCCUUUGAGCGGGGGACAACAUUUGGAAACGAAUGCUAAUACCGCAUAAAAACUUUAAACACAAGUUUUAAGUUUGAAAGAUGCAAUUGCAUCACUCAAAGAUGAUCCCGCGUUGUAUUAGCUAGUUGGUGAGGUAAAGGCUCACCAAGGCGAUGAUACAUAGCCGACCUGAGAGGGUGAUCGGCCACAUUGGGACUGAGACACGGCCCAAACUCCUACGGGAGGCAGCAGUAGGGAAUCUUCGGCAAUGGACGAAAGUCUGACCGAGCAACGCCGCGGUAGUGAAGAAGGUUUUCGGAUCGUAAAACUCUGUUGGUAGAGAAGAACGUUGGUGAGAGUGGAAAGCUCAUCAAGUGACGGUAACUACCCAGAAAGGGACGGCUAACUACGUG